CGGCGAGUGAGCGGCAAAAGCUCAAUUUGAAAUCUGGCACUUUCAGUGUCCGAGUUGUAAUUUGAAGAAGGUAUCUUUGGGUCUGGCUCUUGUCUAUGUUUCUUGGAACAGAACGUCACAGAGGGUGAGAAUCCCGUGCGAUGAGAUGUCCCAGACCUAUGUAAAGUUCCUUCGAAGAGUCGAGUUGUUUGGGAAUGCAGCUCUAAGUGGGUGGUAAAUUCCAUCUAAAGCUAAAUAUUGGCGAGAGACCGAUAGCGAACAAGUACAGUGAUGGAAAGAUGAAAAGAACUUUGAAAAGAGAGUGAAAAAGUACGUGAAAUUGUUGAAAGGGAAGGGCUUGAGAUCAGACUUGGUAUUUUGUAUGUUACUCUCUCGGGGGUGGCCUCUACAGUUUACCGGGCCAGCAUCAGUUUGAGCGGUAGGAUAAGUGCAAAGAAAUGUGGCACUGCUUCGGUAGUGUGUUAUAGUCUUUGUCGAUACUGCCAGCUUAGACUGAGGACUGCGGCUUCGGCCUAGGAUGUUGGCAUAAUGAUCUUAAGUCGCCCGUCUUGA
RNAcentral lists this ribosomal RNA (552 nucleotides) under Lodderomyces parapsilosis. RNAcentral's name for it is "LSU rRNA". It matches the Rfam family "Eukaryotic large subunit ribosomal RNA", at positions 87 to 657 of the family's 3401-position model. Lineage: Eukaryota; Fungi; Ascomycota; Pichiomycetes; Serinales; Debaryomycetaceae. The record is from RNAcentral.